GAUGAACGCUGGCGGCGUGCCUAAUACAUGCAAGUCGAGCGAACGGACGAGACGCUUGCUUCUCUGAUGUUAGCGGCGGACGGGUGAGUAACACGUGGCUAACCUACCUAUAAGACUGGGAUAACUUCGGGAAACCGGAGCUCAUACCGGAUAAUAUUUUGAACCGCAUGGUUCAAAAGUGAUAGACGGUCUUGCUGUCACUUAUAGAUGGAUCCGCGCUGCAUUAGCUAGUUGGUAAGGUAACGGCUUACCAAGGCAACGAUGCAUAGCCGACCUGAGAGGGUGAUCGGCCACACUGGAACUGAGACACGGUCCAGACUCCUACGGGAGGCAGCAGUAGGGAAUCUUCCGAAAUGGGCGAAAGCCUGACGGAGCAACGCCGCGUGAGUGAUGAAGGUCUUCGGAUCGUAAAACUCUGUUAUUAGGGAAGAACAUAUGUGUAAGUAACUGUGCACAUCUUGACGGUACCUAAUCAGAAAGCCACGGCUAACUACGUG
This 497-nucleotide ribosomal RNA is filed under the name uncultured bacterium. RNAcentral's name for it is "partial 16S ribosomal RNA". It matches the Rfam family "Bacterial small subunit ribosomal RNA", at positions 28 to 507 of the family's 1533-position model. The record is from RNAcentral.